RNAcentral lists this long non-coding RNA (1914 nucleotides) under Piliocolobus tephrosceles (Ugandan red Colobus). Its description in RNAcentral is "lncRNA (ENSPTEG00000030543.1)". The record is from RNAcentral. Lineage: Eukaryota; Metazoa; Chordata; Mammalia; Primates; Cercopithecidae.
AUGAAGAACUAUAGAUCCCAUGCCCUCGCCCCACAUGACCAGAUCCCUUGGAGAGUCUGCUUCUGCCUUCCCUCCCAGACUUCAGUGAUGUUCAAGGAUCUCGCUUGCUCAAAGCCUACAGGCUCUGGGAUGCCCACAUGGGGCAAACUGGCCAAUAAAGAACAAGACAGCAUACCCCGUGCCGAACUGCGGGUGAACCAGGCACAGCUCCUGCAGCAUGGUAACACUGUCCUUCUGGUCGAAUUCACAGUGUCUCUCUAGUGCCCAGCACUGUGCCUGGCACAUAGUAAGUGCUCAUUAAAUUUGUUAACUAAAUGGAUGAACGAAUGUUAGAGUGUUAUACUUUUAUCACUGAAAUGCUUUACUUCCACAGGAAGUCAGAGAAGCUCUAUAAAUGAGAGGAUCAGAGGAUGUGACAGGAAAAUGGCUGGUGAGGACAGAGCCCAUGACAGAGUGUCUGUCUGCCUUGCUACAUUUCUGCGGCUGUGAAGCUGAGCCUAAGGUGGGCCUGGCCUGGUCCACUUCCACUGGGAUGUGUUAAAAGAGUGUCGGAACAUCAGAACACUGUCUGGGAACCAUGUGGUCACACUUUCCCUUCAAACAGAGACUCAAGAGCUCACAGCAUGGUGCUGGUAUCUUUGCCAAUACCCUACAAAGUGUCUUUGCAGAUGUCUCCAUUUGACCAGUGAGCGUUACAAUGGAUCCAUUCAUGAAGUAAAAAAACUCCUUAUUGCACGAGUCAGAGGUCACGCGCUACAACCAAAAUAGGCUUUCCUGCCAUCACUGCCACUCUGAAGUGGCUGCCCAGCUAUGGCUACAUGGUCUAACUCAUCUUGCAUCUGGGUGGCCUCAUAUGACUAGUUCUCACCAAAGGAAUUGUGGCAGAUUCCCUAUAGUGGACCACACCAGUAAUUCCCACUUCAUAUUGUUUUAUAAUAUGAUGUUGCACUCCUGUAAUAAGCCAUGGGCUCUAUGUUCUCUCCCUUUCAAUCUGGGUAAGCUUGUGAGGCUUAUCAGGCCAAGUCACAAAAGGUGAUACAGCUUCCAUCCAGGCCUGUUGGGAUACUCUUGGAACCCAGCCACCAAGGUGUGAGGCAGCCCAGCAGCCACAUGGAAAGUCCAACUGUGGGUGUUCUGGCUAUGGCCACAGUUGACGCACACGGAGACACCAGCCUUUGAGGUGAAGGGGAGGUGGUGGUAAGUUGUCCGAUACCUCCACCCCCAGCCUUCAAGCAAUCCUAGGAGACACCAAGUGGAACAGAAGCAAGCAGUCCCCACCAAGCCCUGCCCAAAUUGCAAAUUCAUGGGGAAACAAAUGUUGUCAUUGCUGUAACACACCAAGUUGGGGGUGAUAUGUUAAACAUCAAUAACGAACUGGAAUGGGAAUGGGAGUGGAAAUGGUCUAUGCCACUUCCAGUCCAGGCAUUCGGGACCUGGGGAUGCCUUCUCCAUAUCCUCUCCUUCUCCAAGGCCCUCAGACCACAAGAUGAAAAGAACCAAGUAUCUCAGCCAGGUGUGGUGGCUCACGCCUAUAACCCCAGCACUUUGGGAGGCCAAGGCAGGCAGAUCACAAGGUCAGGAGAUGGAGACUAGCCAUCUGGCAUGGGGCUAACACAGUGAAGCUCCAUCUCUACUAAAAACGCAAAAAAUUAGCUGGGCUUGGUGGUACAUGCCUGUAGUGCCAGCUACUCAGGAGGCUGAGGCAGGAGAAUCGCUUGAACCCGGGAGGAGGAGGUUCCAGUGAGCCAAGAUCACGCCACUGCACUCCAGCCUGGACAACAGAGCAAGACUCCCUCUCAAAAAAAAAAAAAACUAGUGUCCCGAUUGCUACACUGUGGCAAGUCUUGGGUCGACCAAAAAUACCUGCAUCAAACUGCUCAAGAGCUAGAAAUAAAUUUCUAUUGUGUGAAGCCA